AUCAUUAAUCAUACCAAAUUUUAGAUUUCGGAGUUAAUGUUAGGUUUAGAGUUAAGAUGCAUAUAAGAGUUUAGAACUACUUUCUUAGAAAGCUAAUGAACCUUAUCCCUAACCCGAGUAAGGAUUAGAAGUAGAGUUUUGAAGUCACGUCUCCAGGACAUGCUGGCAAUUGAGAGAAGUUGCAAAGUGUUCUUGUUGGUUAAAUAUUGUAUCAAUAAAUAAAUAUUUGAGAGUUAAAGGUUAGGUAGAAAGCUACAGUCAAACCCUUUACGAAUUUAGAAUUAAAGACAUAAUUAAAU
This is a non-coding RNA of Pelobates cultripes (western spadefoot toad), 299 nucleotides long. NCBI's taxonomy places the organism in Eukaryota, Metazoa, Chordata, Amphibia, Anura, Pelobatidae. The record is from the annotation of a GenBank genome assembly.